RNAcentral lists this long non-coding RNA (622 nucleotides) under Cricetulus griseus (Chinese hamster). Its description in RNAcentral is "lncRNA (ENSCGRG00015032004.1)". Lineage: Eukaryota; Metazoa; Chordata; Mammalia; Rodentia; Cricetidae. The record is from RNAcentral.
CUUGAAUGAGCAAGAAUUUAUGGAAUAGGAUGUUGAAUUCUUCGAGCAUGUGCUGAGGAGUGGUAUAACUCAACCAUAGUGUAAAUGCAUAUUUAAUAUUUUGAGUUUUUCCCCAAACUGAUUUCCAGAAAGGCUGGACCAGUUUUUGGGGAUCCCUUCAAGUGUCAUGAAUGACAAGGAAAUGAUCUCCCUUCAGAGGAUCAGGAAACAUUCCUUGACAGAGUUACAACUGGCUCCAGCUACGUUCCCAGCACCAAGAUGGCUGCCUCCAGACCAUUGGGAAUUCUAACUCAAGAAGAUCUGAGGUCCAUUUCUGGUUUCUGUUGAUGUUUUCACAAAGAAUCAAAAAUGUUGAUUCGCAAAACAUAAAAAGGACAAUUAAAUUAUUGGGGAUGCAUACAUUCAUGACAUGGCACAUGUAAAGUUUUGAGAACAACAUGCAGAAUUUCUUGGUUCCUUCUUUUAGCGUGAAAGUUCUUGGAACCAAGAUCAAGGCCUUAGGCUUAGGGGCAACUACAUGGUCAGCUGAGUCAUCUUGCUGGUCCCUAGUUUUAUACUUUUGGUGGAUUUUUUAAAUGUAUUUUAAUUUUCAUUGUAAUAAACCAUCAAUCUGCUAUGAAAA